AAGCCCGGGGCUCAACCUCGGAACCGCAUUUGAAACUGGCAGGCUAGAGUCUUGUAGAGGGGGGUAGAAUUUCAGGUGUAGCGGUGAAAUGCGUAGAGAUCUGAAGGAAUACCAGUGGCGAAGGCGGCCCCCUGGACAAAGACUGACGCUCAGAUGCGAAAGCGUGGGUAGCAAACAGGAUUAGAUACCCUGGUAGUCCACGCCGUAAACGCUGUCUACUUGGAGGUUGAGGUUUUAGACUUUGGCUUUCGGCGCUAACGCAUUAAGUAGACCGCCUGGGGAGUACGGCCGCAAGGUUAAAACUCAAAUGAAUUGACGGGGGCCCGCACAAGCGGUGGAGCAUGUGGUUUAAUUCGAUGCAACGCGAAGAACCUUACCUACUCUUGACAUCCAGCGAAGCCUUUAGAGAUAGAGGCGUGCCUUCGGGAGCGCUGAGACAGGUGCUGCAUGGCUGUCGUCAGCUCGUGUUGUGAAAUGUUGGGUUAAGUCCCGCAACGAGCGCAACCCUUAUCCUUGUUUGCCAGCACGUAAUGGUGGGAACUCCAGGGAGACUGCCGGUGAUAAACCGGAGGAAGGUGGGGACGACGUCAAGUCAUCAUGGCCCUUACGAGUAGGGCUACACACGUGCUACAAUGGCAGAUACAGAGGGCAGCGAAGCUGCGAAGUGGAGCGAAUCCCUUAAAGUCUGUCGUAGUCCGGAUUGGAGUCUGCAACUCGACUCCAUGAAGUCGGAAUCGCUAGUAAUCGUGGAUCAGAAUGCCACGGUGAAUACGUUCCCGGGCCUUGUACACACCGCCCGU
This 800-nucleotide ribosomal RNA is filed under the name uncultured bacterium. Its description in RNAcentral is "bacterial SSU rRNA". It matches the Rfam family "Bacterial small subunit ribosomal RNA", at positions 598 to 1397 of the family's 1533-position model. The record is from RNAcentral.